RNAcentral lists this ribosomal RNA (432 nucleotides) under uncultured bacterium. RNAcentral describes it as "partial 16S ribosomal RNA". It matches the Rfam family "Bacterial small subunit ribosomal RNA", at positions 29 to 507 of the family's 1533-position model. The record is from RNAcentral.
AAUGAACGCUGGCGGCAGGCCUAACACAUGCAAGUCGAGCGAGCAUUUCGGUGCUAGCGGCGGACGGGUGAGUAACGCGUGGGAACGUGCCCUUUUCUGCGGAAUAGUCCUGGGAAACUGGGGGUAAUACCGCAUACGCCCUUUUGGGGAAAGAUUUAUCGGAGAAGGAUCGGCCCGCGUUGGAUUAGGUAGUUGGUGGGGAAUGGCCCACCAAGCCGACGAUCCAUAGCUGGUUUGAGAGGAUGAUCAGCCACACUGGGACUGAGACACGGCCCAGACUCCUACGGGAGGCAGCAGUGGGGAAUCUUAGACAAUGGGGGCAACCCUGAUCUAGCCAUGCCGCGUGAGUGAUGAAGGCCUUAGGGUUGUAAAGCUCUUUCAGCUGGGAAGAUAAUGACGGUACCAGCAGAAGAAGCCCCGGCUAACUCCGUG